RNAcentral lists this ribosomal RNA (420 nucleotides) under Alexandrium tamarense. RNAcentral describes it as "partial Bacterial large subunit ribosomal RNA". It matches the Rfam family "Bacterial large subunit ribosomal RNA", at positions 1 to 448 of the family's 2925-position model. The record is from RNAcentral. Lineage: Eukaryota; Dinophyceae; Gonyaulacales; Pyrocystaceae.
CGAAAAGGGCGUUUGGUGGAUGCCUUGGCAGUAAGAGGCGAUGAAAGACGUGAUACUCUGCGAUAAGCCAUGGGGAGCUGAGAAUAAGCUUUGAUCCAUGGAUUUCUGAAUGGGGGAACCCACUUGAUUGUUUGUUAUUGAGAGCUUGCGUUCUCAAUAAUGAGCAAAACCAAGUACUUUUAACCUGAAUACAUAGGGUUUUAAGAGCAAACCCGGGGAACUGAAACAUCUAAGUACCCGGAGGAAAGGAAAUCAAUUGAUACUCCGCUAGUAGUGGCGAGCGAACGCGGAUCAGCCGAGACCAAUAAGUGACUGGAACGACCUGGGAAGGUCGGCCAUAGUGGGUGAUAGCCCCGUACAGGAAGCUUUGAGGUACGUAUUAAGUAGGGCGGGACACGUGAAAUCCUGUUCGAAGAUCGG